RNAcentral lists this ribosomal RNA (433 nucleotides) under uncultured bacterium. Its description in RNAcentral is "partial 16S ribosomal RNA". It matches the Rfam family "Bacterial small subunit ribosomal RNA", at positions 29 to 507 of the family's 1533-position model. The record is from RNAcentral.
AACGAACGCUGGCGGCAUGCCUAACACAUGCAAGUCGAACGAGACCUUCGGGUCUAGUGGCGCACGGGUGCGUAACGCGUGGGAAUCUGCCCUUCGGUUGGGAAUAACUGAGAGAAAUUUCAGCUAAUACCUUAUAAUGUCUUCGGACCAAAGAUUUAUCGCCGAGGGAUGAGCCCGCGUAGGAUUAGGUAGUUGGUGGGGUAAUGGCCUACCAAGCCGACGAUCCUUAGCUGGUCUGAGAGGAUGAUCAGCCACACUGGGACUGAGACACGGCCCAGACUCCUACGGGAGGCAGCAGUGGGGAGUAUUGGACAAUGGGCGAAAGCCUGAUCCAGCAAUGCCGCGUGAGUGAUGAAGGCCUUAGGGUUGUAAAGCUCUUUUACCCGGGAUGAUAAUGACAGUACCGGGAGAAUAAGCUCCGGCUAACUCCGUG